RNAcentral lists this ribosomal RNA (253 nucleotides) under uncultured bacterium. RNAcentral describes it as "partial 16S ribosomal RNA". It matches the Rfam family "Bacterial small subunit ribosomal RNA", at positions 524 to 776 of the family's 1533-position model. The record is from RNAcentral.
UACGAAGGGUGCAAACGUUGCUCGGAAUUAUUGGGCGUAAAGCGCACGUAAGCGGCUUUGCAAGUCCGAUGUGAAAGCCCUCGGCUUAACCGAGGAAGUGCAUCGGAAACUGCAGAGCUUGAGUGCUUAAGAGGAUCGCGGAAUUCCCGGUGUAGAGGUGAAAUUCGUAGAUAUUGGGAAGAACACCAGUGGCGAAGGCGGCUCACUGGCCAGUUUCUGACGCUAAAGUGCGAAAGCGUGGGGAUCAAACAGG